RNAcentral lists this ribosomal RNA (400 nucleotides) under uncultured bacterium. RNAcentral's name for it is "bacterial SSU rRNA". It matches the Rfam family "Bacterial small subunit ribosomal RNA", at positions 356 to 773 of the family's 1533-position model. The record is from RNAcentral.
GGGGAAUAUUGCGCAAUGGGGGAAACCCUGACGCAGCAACGCCGCGUGAGCGAUGAAGGUCUUCGGAUUGUAAAGCUCUGUCUUUAGGGACGAUAAUGACGGUACCUAAGGAGGAAGCCACGGCUAACUACGUGCCAGCAGCCGCGGUAAUACGUAGGUGGCAAGCGUUGUCCGGAUUUACUGGGCGUAAAGAGUAUGUAGGCGGAUAUUUAAGUCAGAUGUGAAAUUCCCGGGCUUAACCUGGGCGCUGCAUCUGAUACUGGAUAUCUAGAGUGUGGGAGAGGAAAGUGGAAUUCCUAGUGUAGCGGUGAAAUGCGUAGAGAUUAGGAAGAACACCAGUGGCGAAGGCGGCUUUCUGGACCAUAACUGACGCUGAAGCACGAAAGCAUGGGUAGCAAAC